GGUCUUUUCUGACCUCCCUUCCCGAUCUUAUGGUUGUUUGAUCAUCAGGUUGGGUUAUUUCAUCAUUGUUUUGUUUAGUGGGGGCUUCCAACUGAUUUGUUGUGUCAGUUGAGAUUUUUAAUGGAUUUGUUGUGUUAAGAUGAGUGACCUCAUCUUUCUCCUCUAUUGCAUCUUCAUUUUGAUUUGGCAGGUUUGGAAUAGUUAGAUUUGUGUUGAUAUGGGAAGGAGUUCUCAUAGAACUUCGCAUCUUUUGGAAAAUUAAUCCCUUCUAGGAGAUGGAGUGGCCAAGAAAUAUACAUGUUGAUGCCCUUGGGGAGAAUUUUGAUUCUCUUUGGUUUGUAUUAGCAUAGCGUAAACACCCCAAAAGUUUUUAGUGAUAUAUAAUCUUGUGGCAUGUUAUUUAGGAUCUCAAAUAGAGAUUUGAAGUUGGUCACAGGAGAGGGGAGUCUGUUGAUUAUGUAUGCUGCAUGAAGAAUGCAGUUGCCCCAAAAUUCCUCAGGUACAAUAUUUGUUUGGAAUUUUAAUGCCCUGGCCACCACAAGGAGGUGCUUGUGUUUUCUUUCCACCAUCCCAUUUUGUUGAGGUGUGUAGGGACAACUUGUUUGACGUAGGAUUCCAUGUUUGGAGGAGAAUUUUGAUAGUACAGAGCAUGUUAACUCUGACCCAUUGUCUGUUCUAAAUAAUUUUAUCCAAACUAAUUUUGAACCAUCAUGUAGAAGGCUUGAACCCAAUCAGAUGUUUCAGUAGAAUAUAUCAGUACAUAAUGUUUAUCACAAAGAAAAGGACAUCACUGAUCAUCUAUUUUUUUGGCCAGAGAAACAUCUGCGUAUAUGUCAUUUUUUAUAGAAUAUGAAUUAAAUAUGUGUAAAUUAUAUUACAGUUCAGUGUCGCGUCAAAAUGGUGCGACAACACCCCCAUAAAGAAUCGAAACUUUCUCACAGAAUUUACAUUGAGUAAAGAAAAAGAAAAAUUGACUCUUGAGUCGUUUCUACUUUACAACACCACCUAUGAAUCUAUGGUUAUGAAGUUGUUGUGCUAACAGGAACUGGAGUCCUAAGAAUUUGUUGGAGCAAACGAGCUGCAAGACGUUGGCUAAUUCCUCCAGCAACACGUCCACCGAGAUUUUGAACUUCCGAUUGUUGAAGGACCUGUAUGAUCGAUGCUCUUGUUAUGAAUUUUGGUCAUUGGAAUUUCACAAGAAAGAAAGAGUAUGGACCAUAGUAUGGUGGUGAAAUAAUAGAAUACCUG
Molecule: long non-coding RNA, 1248 nt
Filed under: Zostera marina
Lineage: Eukaryota; Viridiplantae; Streptophyta; Magnoliopsida; Alismatales; Zosteraceae
Description: long non-coding RNA (ZMAR_LNC006164)
Source: RNAcentral